This 96-nucleotide transfer RNA is filed under the name Thermothielavioides terrestris NRRL 8126. RNAcentral's name for it is "Thielavia terrestris NRRL 8126 tRNA". It matches the Rfam family "tRNA". From Rfam's summary of the family: Transfer RNA (tRNA) molecules are approximately 80 nucleotides in length. Their secondary structure includes four short double-helical elements and three loops (D, anti-codon, and T loops). Lineage: Eukaryota; Fungi; Ascomycota; Sordariomycetes; Sordariales; Chaetomiaceae. The record is from Rfam by way of RNAcentral.
GGCGGAGUGGCCGAGCGGUCUAUGGCGGAGGAUUUAAGAAUUUUCUUAAUCUCCUCUUCUCGAAAGAGAGCGUGGGUUCGAACCCCACCUCCGUCA